Molecule: ribosomal RNA, 480 nt
Filed under: uncultured archaeon
Lineage: Archaea
Description: bacterial SSU rRNA
Rfam family: Archaeal small subunit ribosomal RNA
Source: RNAcentral
ACUUUACAAUGCGGGAAACCGUGACAGGGGGAUCCCAAGUGCUCAUGCAUUGCAUGGGCUGUUCUUUGGUCUAAGUAACCAGAGGAGUAAGGGCUGGGCAAGACCGGUGCCAGCCGCUCGCGGUAAUACCGGCAGCUCAAGUGGUAGCCGCGAUUAUUGGGCCUAAAACGUUCGUAGCCGGAUAAGUAAGUCUUUGGUUAAAUCCUGCGACUUAACCGUGGGAAAUCUAGAGAUACUGCUUGUCUUGAGACCGGGAGAGGUUGGAGGUACUCCUAGGGUAGGGGUGAAAUCCUGUAAUCCUAGGGGGACCACCUGUGGCGAAGGCGUCCAACUGGAACGGGUCUGACGGUGAGGGACGAAACCUAGGGGAGCGAGCCGGAUUAGAUACCCGGGUAGUCCUAGGCGUAAAUGAUGCGAGUUAAGUGUGGGGGCAUCUACGAGAUGGCCCUGUGCUGUAGGGUAGCCGUUAAACUCGCUGCC